Molecule: ribosomal RNA, 392 nt
Filed under: uncultured bacterium
Lineage: Bacteria
Description: bacterial SSU rRNA
Rfam family: Bacterial small subunit ribosomal RNA
Source: RNAcentral
AAUCAACGCUGGCGGCGUGCCUCAGACAUGCAAGUCGAACGCGAAAGUUUCCUUCGGGGAACAAGUAGAGUGGCGCACGGGUGAGUAACACGUAGGUAAUCUACCUUUGGAUGGGGAAUAACAACCGGAAACGGUUGCUAAUACCGCAUAAUGCAGCGGCACCUAAUGGUGACAGUUGUUAAAGCGGGGGAUCGAAAGACCUCGCGUCUGAAGAGGAGCCUGCGGCGGAUUAGCUAGUUGGUAAGGUAAUGGCUUACCAAGGCGACGAUCCGUAACCGGCCUGAGAGGGCGGUCGGUCACACUGACACUGACAUACGGGUCAGACUCCUACGGGAGGCAGCAGGUCGGAAUUUUGGGCAAUGGGCGAAAGCCUGACCCAGCAACGCCGCGUG